This 222-nucleotide unclassified non-coding RNA is filed under the name Hevea brasiliensis (rubber tree). The record is from RNAcentral. Lineage: Eukaryota; Viridiplantae; Streptophyta; Magnoliopsida; Malpighiales; Euphorbiaceae.
UUUUUUCAGCAUCAAAACUAGAAUUUAUUAAUAUAAGGAAGAAAAGAAAAACAAAUUGAGGUUUUUCCGCCCUUUAUCAAUUUUUGUUCUCAAUUUCAUACACAUCAAUUCAUUAUAGAAGCUCUAAAUAAAACAACUGAUAAAAAUGAACCAUAUAUUAAAAACUUGGAUGGCUCUCUUUGCUCAUCCUUGCUGUCUAUUUUAGCAAUUUUAGCAUAAAGA